Molecule: ribosomal RNA, 379 nt
Filed under: uncultured eukaryote
Lineage: Eukaryota
Description: partial 18S ribosomal RNA
Rfam family: Eukaryotic small subunit ribosomal RNA
Source: RNAcentral
CAAUAGCGUAUAUUUAAGUUGUUGCAGUUAAAAAGCUCGUAGUUGGAUUUCGGAUGGGACUUGCCGGUCCGUCGUUUCGAUGUGCACUGGCCAGUCCUAUCUUGUUGUCGGGGACUAGCUCCUGGGCUUCACUGUCCGGGACUAGGAGCUGACGAGGUUGCUUUGAGUAAAUUAGAGUGUUCAAAGCAAGCCUACGCUCUGAAUACAUUAGCAUGGAAUAACACGAUAGGACUCUGGCUUAUCUUGUUGGUCUGUGAGACCAGAGUAAUGAUUAAGAGGGACAGUCGGGGGCAUUCGUAUUUCAUUGUCAGAGGUGAAAUUCUUGGAUUUAUGAAAGACGAACUUCUGCGAAAGCAUUUGUCAAGGAUGUUUUCAUUAA